GGAGUGGCGACCUCAGCAAAAGCAUUAAAAAAAAAGCAUAAAUAUCAUUAACAGCAAUAUACAGGUACAUCAGAAGUGAUAGCAACACGGCCGACAAAACCAAUAGCAAUAGCAACGUUAGCAUCAUGUUUUAUAGCGAGAGAGGCAGUGGUAGCAGGAAUAAUAGGGAUAGCAAAACUAUAUUAGCAAAAACUAUAUUAGCAACAAUUUGUAGCUUUAUCAUCAGCAUCAACAGAAGCAACAUAAUUAGCAACAUUAGCAAUGGUUUAUAGCAACAGCAGCAGCAAUUACCACAAUGGCAAUAAGGUUAAUAGAACCAAUAGUUUUAGUAUUGGGAACAGCAUGAAUAGCAGCAGCAGAACCCAAACAACAACAUAAUUUACUGGGCUGUUUAAGAUGCUAGUAGCAGCAAUUAAGUUUACUCGUGAAGUCCUACCACUUUACGAAAAGGGUCAAACUAGAUUAGAUCUAUGUAUAUACUUUCAUGAACAGGAAAAACACGAGUAGAAUGUAUUUUGAUAGUAGGUGUACUCGAAAAGGGCUAGCCAAGGGCUAAAUGAUAACAAUAGUGAAAGCAGCUGUAUCAGUCGUUGUAGCUGCAGUAGAAGCAUUACCAUGAACAAUAAGGGAAGUACCAAUAAUGUGCAAUGAAGAACAGCAGCGAUAUUAGUAACAGUAGUACCACCAGUAGUAAUAGUAACGGUAGCAGUAGCAACAAUAACAUGUAAGAACAUUAGCAGCAUUAGCAACAUGUUCUGCAGCAGCAGUAGCAGCCGCAGCAGCAGCGGAGGUGGCAGCAGCAGCAGCGGUGACACAGGCUACACCAGCCGCAGCGACGACAAGCUCAGUAGGUGAAGCUGCAGCAGCAGCAGCAACAAGAAGCAACAUCAACAGCAGCAGCAGCAGCAGCAAAAUCAGCAUCAUUAUCAGCAGCAGCAGCAGCACAAUCACCACUGCUACUGCCACCAUCACCACUAUCAGUAACAACAGCCACAACAACAACAACAGCAGCAGUAUCGUCUAGCUGACAAUAAACGCAAUGUGCUAAGCCUCCGUACCAAUGGAUAGCUAGCUCUCUACCUGUGGCGACACACAUCAGUAGGAAUACUUGGCAUGUAGAUGAAUGUAGUAGAAGUCGACGACAACGACGACGACGACGACGGCGACGACGACGGGAGAACAAUAACAACAACAACAACAAUAACAACAAAAAAAAACAAAUAAUACCAGGACGGAAUACCCUCCCUCUGUUAAUUAUCACACACUUAGAAAACAAACCAAAGAAGCAAGAAAAAAAAAAAAAAAGAGAGAGAGAUGAAGUGUGAAGAAAUAAUAACAACUGGAAGAAACUAUUACUUUGAAAAUCUAAACUAAUGAGAAAAGUGAAUGAGCAAAGUGGGAUACAUUUAUAGAGAGAAAUACAGAGUAAAAUAAAUAAAUAGUUUGGAGGAAUUUACUUAGAUGUGAAAGUGAAAGUGAAACAAGAUAAAAAGAAAAAAAAAAACCACAAAGAAGGAUACACAGGAAUUAUUAUCAUUACCGUGACUACGAUUGUCAAAAGAAGUCAAAGGGAUUUAUAGAAUAUUUACUAAGCGUUAUAUUAAAAUAUUGUAAAAAUACACACAUACAUACACGCAAACUUAUACAAAAAAAAGGUAAAGAAUAUGUAGUUAUACAUAUGUGCAAAAGUAAAUAAUAUAUAUAUUUAUAUAUAUAUAUAUAUUAUAUAUAUAUACACACACAUACAAACACAGUCUCUCAUAAAAAAAUACACAGAUACAUAUAUACAUAUACACAUCCAUAUAUAUAUAUAAAUACAUAUAUACAUACACACGCACAUAUAUACUUAUAUAUAUAUAUACAUACAUAUGAACAAAUUUAUAAGUAUGAUAAAAUAAGCCACCCCGCCCCCCUAAAAAAGCUAAAGAACAAAUGAUAAUAUAUUGUUGUAGUAACACAAACACACAUAUAUAUACAAAUAAGUGUGUAUUAUUUGAUAUAUGAAAUUCAAGUAUUAGCAACAAUAAGUAUAGAAGUAUAAUUAUUAAUAUUAAUUAUAAUAUUUUAAUUAUAUAUAAUUAAGGAUUUAUCUUUUAUAUUCUUAUAUACAUAUACAGAGAGAGAGAGAGAGUGAGAGAGAGAGAGAGAAAGAAAGAAAGAGUGAGGUAGACAGAUAAAUAGAUACAAAUAUACAUAGAAAUAGUUUGGGAAGGCAAUAAAAAGUCUGAAAAUUUUAAGUGCAAAACGAAAAUUUUGGUUUAGCUUCAGAAGAAAGAACAACAAAAACGAAGUUGUUUUAUAUAUUUAUUUUAUUUUUUAUUUUGUCGAAACAGUUGAAGUUUGUAGGCGAUGAGGAGAAUAAAGAAACCCGAUAUAGAAUAAAAUUUUAAGUAUAUUAAGAACACUUAGUGGGGAAAAUGAAAGCAUAUACAUGUGUUUAUAUGUAUAUAUAUAUACAUUAAAUUAAAAUAGAAAAUCAGACGACAUCCACCUUAGCGGGAGUAAAAGUAACGCUAAAGUCUACACUCGUGAAAAGAAAUUUCCUAAAUUCAAAGAACAGUUGUAGAAUUUAGACUAUAAAAGCAAAGAUUGAAACGGAAUAGUAUAUAUACAUAUAAAUACAUAUUUUAUACUUUCUUGCCCAAUUACUGUAUAUAUUUGUAUAUACCACAUAUCUAAACAUAUUUGUAUAUACAUACAUAAUAUAAUAUAUAUAUAUAUAAGUAUAUAUGUGUGUCUGUACAUACAUACACAAUUAACAAAUAUCCAUACACACAAUUUCGUUUAAUUAUAUGUUUAUUAAAAUAUUUGUAUAUGUAUAUGUAUUUAUAUAUAUAUAUUAUACAUAACAUAUGCAAAGCUACUUGUAAGUAGGCAUUAUAUCGUUGGAGAUUUUCACAUAUUGAUAUAUACAUACAUAUACAUAUACAUAUAUAUAUAUAUAUAUAUAUAUAUAUAUAUAUAUAUAUAUCUUCUUCUAUAGAAUAAAUCCACGAGGCUUAAUGUAAAACUCUAUAGAAGAAUUCACUUAUUCUUUCACACACACAGACACACAUACACACACACGUCACACGCGCAUAUACAUACAUAUAUUAUAAAUAAUUAUCGUUUUAUUAUAAAUAUUGAGUGAUACACACAGACUAUACGCAUAUAUUCAUUACUAAAUAUAUAUGUACAUUCAUUCAUUCCUAGGAUAUUAUUAAUUACAAGACAAACGCACACACACAAAAUGACCAUAACUACACUUGUGUGCUUCCAGGCUUAUUUCCACUUUGUGAUGUGGGCAG
Molecule: long non-coding RNA, 3287 nt
Filed under: Octopus vulgaris (common octopus)
Lineage: Eukaryota; Metazoa; Mollusca; Cephalopoda; Octopoda; Octopodidae
Source: RNAcentral